Non-coding RNA from Paramuricea clavata, 427 nucleotides. The record is from the annotation of a GenBank genome assembly. Lineage: Eukaryota; Metazoa; Cnidaria; Anthozoa; Malacalcyonacea; Plexauridae.
CAAUGAUAUAAUGAGAAUAAUGUGCACCUUAAUUACGGGUAAAGGUACGGACAUCGACGAAAAUAUUGCUAACCAAAAUCAUGCUAUACCCGUACACGUACACGUACACCGAAACCGGGGUAUCUUAACCUCUCUAUUAUAGAACUGAAAAUACACGAUUAUAACUAGAAAACACUUGAUAUGUGAUUUACAAGUAUAAACUGGCCGUUGAGAAAGAUCGUGACCCUAUUUUUACGACCAUAUAGAAACUCCAGACUUUAUAUACGUGGGAUUUUACUGUAAGGGAUACAAAAUGCUGCUGAUUGAACUUGACAACAUUUGAUGUUUUUGUAAUUUUAUGUUCUGUAUCGUUCAACGAGUGUUAGAGGGAUUUAGAGUAAAAAUAUAUAUCAAAAUAAAGCAAAUCUGAGUGUAGCUUACUAAAUGC